This is a long non-coding RNA of Homo sapiens (human), 918 nucleotides long. Ensembl annotates it as CATSPER2 pseudogene 1. Its record names the gene CATSPER2P1. The record is from Ensembl. Lineage: Eukaryota; Metazoa; Chordata; Mammalia; Primates; Hominidae.
GGCCGGAGCGCGGGGCGGGGCCGAGGCGGCGAGUGUCUGGGCGAGCGUGGCUGGGCCCGGUCCUGGGCUGGGGGCAGGGGCUAGGGCCGGGUCCCGGGCAGACAUGGCCGCUUACCAACAAGAAGGGCAGAUGCAGCUUCCCCGAGCUGAUGCCAUUCGUUCACGUCUCAUCGAUACUUUCUCUCUCAUCGAGCAUUUGCAAGGCUUGAGCCAAGCUGUGCUGCGACACACUAUCAGGAGUUACUUGAUCCUUCCCGCCAGAAGAAACUUAUGUUGGGAGAUCAACACCAGCUAGUGGGCGUCUCUAUAAAGCCUCAACGUAUAGAACAGAUUUCACAUGCCCAGAGGCUGUUGAGCAGGCUUCAUGUGCGCUGCAGUCAGAGGCCACCUCUUUCUUUGUGGGCCGGAUGGGUCCUUGAGUAAUUGCUGGAAUCCACAAAUACCAAACUAUGGCCAUUGAAGCUGACCUUGGAGGGGGCAGCUUGGUUUAUCUUGCUUAUUUUCAUCCUGGAGAUCCUUCUUAAGUGGCUAUCCAACUUUUCUGUUUUCUGGAAGAGUGCCUGGAAUGUCUUUGACUUUGUUGUUACCAUGUUGGUAAGGAUAGAGAUCCUGAGGGUUCGUUUAGUGGGAUGAAGAAUGUGCCUAGGUGAAUCGAAAGAACAAGUUAACAUGAUAAUAGGAAGAAACAAAAAUUUACUUAACUUCUUUCUUUUGAUUUUUUUUUCCUAAAACUAAACAUCAAUCAUUGCAGGAGUUGUUGGUAUUAGGAGCAAAGUAGACUAACUACAACAUCAAUGCCAACAAGAGCAUCUGCCGGUUACUGAGCACUUACUAAGUGCCAAGCACUAUUUUAAGUGUUUUCCUUACAUUAUCUCAUUUAUGCUCCACAACAACCUAAUUAAAUAACCAUGAAUUUUA